Molecule: ribosomal RNA, 253 nt
Filed under: uncultured bacterium
Lineage: Bacteria
Description: partial 16S ribosomal RNA
Rfam family: Bacterial small subunit ribosomal RNA
Source: RNAcentral
UACGUAGGGUGCAAGCGUUGUCCGGAAUUAUUGGGCGUAAAGAGCUCGUAGGCGGUUUGUCGCGUCGGAUGUGAAAACCCGGGGCUCAACCCCGGGCCUGCAUUCGAUACGGGCAGACUAGAGUUCGGUAGGGGAGUCUGGAAUUCCUGGUGUAGCGGUGAAAUGCGCAGAUAUCAGGAGGAACACCAGUGGCGAAGGCGGGACUCUGGGCCGAUACUGACGCUGAGGAGCGAAAGCGUGGGGAGCAAACAGG